This 626-nucleotide unclassified non-coding RNA is filed under the name Hevea brasiliensis (rubber tree). The record is from RNAcentral. Lineage: Eukaryota; Viridiplantae; Streptophyta; Magnoliopsida; Malpighiales; Euphorbiaceae.
AACGAACCCAUAGGCAAACUCAGAAGAUGACGACCACGAUGAUUCGUCCCAAUUUUGCCCUCCAAAUCUGUCAAAAUUCCACCCUCUGCCACCGCCCCAACUUCCACCAGCUCCACCAAAAGGACCAUCACCGUCACCAUCACCACCCCAAAACCCGCUAUCUUCACCGAAUUCCUCGUAGCCUCCGCCGCUGGAUGAUCUCCGCCUCGUCCGCCGCUUCUUGCGAAGAAGAGUCCGGCGAGCGGUUAUAUGCGAGUUGGAUUUGACAGGCGGAGGAGCUAUUGCGUCCAAAAUAACGGCGGAGAUUUGGAGGAAUCCGGCGGAGAGAGCUAGGCUGCCAUUGGAGACACAAUUUUGUCGGUGAAUAAUCGAAUUCGUAAACCCUAGCCCUUGUUGUGUGGCUAUCGUUAAAGUAUCGGCGAUGACGGAAACAUCCAUCGAGAUUUCCGAUUCGAGGUACAAAAAUAAUAAAUAAGAAAGAGAUUUUUGAGAAUUGGGAAUUGGUGAUUGAGAAUGCGUUAUGGGUUGCGGGAUAUUUAUUUUCCCAGGAAAAAUGUCCAGGAAAAUCAAGGAAAGGGAAAACCAAAUUGGAAUGGGAAUUGGAUUCGGUGGAUAACUCGGACCAG